GGAGCAGCUUCGGGUCCUUGAUGAAGUGCCCGGAUGAAGUUCCAGCACUCACGCGCCUUCCGCAUUGAGUGCAGCGCCAUCUUGAGAAGGGCGGAGCCGUCUAGUCUUGAGUGACAUCUGCUCAGAGAGGAAGUCCCAGAUUCGCAGCGGUUUUGCUUGUUGCGCAUGCGCACUUGCCCUCGGGGCGGGCCUUUGUGCCAGUGCCUGGGGGCAUCCGGUCUUCGCAGAGCGGGUCGCGGGGUCAGGAACUGGGUGGGGCUUGGCUUUAGCAUUUGCCCUGGAGACCUAAUAUUUGCGCAGGUUUCGUGAAGGGACAGUCUCCUACGAGGAUAUUAGUAGCAGUGUUUUUUAAACUGGAAGAAAGCCAAGAAGAGGUAGGAGAUAAAUGCAGUAAGGAUGCUGUUACUCUUAAUGGAAUUGAAAUCUAACAAGUGUUCUCAGGCAACCUCUGGAGGAAUCCAGCACACACGGAAUAUCUCCAGCCACCCCACAGCACAUCCCCAGAGCUUCAGCUCAAGAGCAACCCUGUGAGGGUGUAACGUCCCCCUCAAGAAACUGAACAACAGAGAGGCUGUCUCACUCAAGGUCACAGAGGCAUUAAAUAGCAGAGCCAGAACCUGAACCAAGGUCUGCUGGAUCCCAAAGCCCAUGCUCAUUCUCCCUACUCACAAGGAAUCAAAAGGACUUGGUGAUUAGUGUUCCAUCAUCCCUCACUUUCCAAAACUUUGUGGGAAGCAGUGUGUGUGCACCAGCCUCUAGCAUGCCCAGGGAAGAAUGUAUUCUGUUAGAUUACAUCAUGCUGAAGGAGGGAGGACUUCUCAUAUCAAGUGGAAUUUGGAGGCCCAGCCAGUGUUCACCCUGUCUAGGUCUGUAUUAGUUUUCUAUUAUUGCUGCUGUAACAAAUUGUCAUAA
Delphinapterus leucas (beluga whale) is the source of this 912-nucleotide non-coding RNA. The record is from RefSeq and is a predicted model, not a curated record. NCBI's taxonomy places the organism in Eukaryota, Metazoa, Chordata, Mammalia, Artiodactyla, Monodontidae.